GACGAACGCUGGCGGCGUGCCUAACACAUGCAAGUCGAGCGAAUGAAGUUCCUUCGGGAAUGGAUUUAGCGGCGGACGGGUGAGUAACACGUGGGCAACCUGCCUCAUAGAGGGGAAUAGCCUUCCGAAAGGGAGAUUAAUACCGCAUAAGAUUGUAGUACCGCAUGGUACAGCAAUUAAAGGAGCAAUCCGCUAUGAGAUGGGCCCGCGGCGCAUUAGCUAGUUGGUGAGGUAACGGCUCACCAAGGCGACGAUGCGUAGCCGACCUGAGAGGGUGAUCGGCAGCAGUGGGACUGAGGCACGGCGCGGACUCCUACGAGAGGCAGCAGUGGGGAAUAUUGCACGAUGGGGGAAACCCUGAUGCAGCAACGCCGCGUGAGUGAUGACGGCCUUCGGGUUGUAAAGCUCUGUCUUCAGGGACGAUAAUGACGGUACCUGAGGAGGAAGCCACGGCUAACUACGUGCCAGCCGCCGCGGUAA
RNAcentral lists this ribosomal RNA (480 nucleotides) under uncultured bacterium. RNAcentral describes it as "partial 16S ribosomal RNA". It matches the Rfam family "Bacterial small subunit ribosomal RNA", at positions 28 to 523 of the family's 1533-position model. The record is from RNAcentral.